This is a long non-coding RNA of Monopterus albus (swamp eel), 638 nucleotides long. RefSeq lists it as uncharacterized. The transcript is spliced from 4 exons. NCBI's taxonomy places the organism in Eukaryota, Metazoa, Chordata, Actinopteri, Synbranchiformes, Synbranchidae. The record is from RefSeq and is a predicted model, not a curated record.
CAGUACCCUAACACAGUGGUAGCUGAGAGCAUAGGGAGAAAGGAGCCUGUGGGCACAAGGAACAAAACAUGCAACAGCAGCCCAAACAUCUGUGUGUUUGUGUGUGGAUUUUUUCAACUGACUGAAUGGGUGGAAGCACAUGGGACUGCCUUUCACAAAGUCUCAGCUUUCUCCACGGGAUUCUGUUCCACUUUAUCACACCCUCCCUUCUGUUGGUGAGGACUUGCAGACGUACAGAGGCUCCUUUGUGUGAGAGCAGUUUGGUGGAAGAAGGAAAGAAGUAUCAAGAGAGGGGCGGUGACGGCGUGUGACAGCUCAGGUGGAACUUUUACAGCAUCCUGCACCAAACUAUUCUCAGCUGCUGUCCAGGGUGCUCGCUGAAGGGCAGGACGUCUGCUGCUGCCAAGCAACGGGGCACGAUCGCCGCACUUUCUAAACGCUAAUUUUGGACCUGUGUCGGUGUCACCCAUGAGUAUGUUUAGAAUUUGUGUCAGCGCGACCACAAGACACCGAUGUAUAGCAUGUUGGAGAAAGGGAAAACACAACUAUGCAUUUUUAAACUAGAAAUAUUUCCUUUUAAAAUGCACCCUAUUAUAAGUAUUGAAAAUUACAAUUUAAAAAUUGUGUAAGUUUUUUGU